RNAcentral lists this transfer RNA (57 nucleotides) under Canis lupus (wolf). RNAcentral's name for it is "partial tRNA-Val". Lineage: Eukaryota; Metazoa; Chordata; Mammalia; Carnivora; Canidae. The record is from RNAcentral.
CAAAGUGUAGCUUAACUAAAGCGUCUGGCCUACACCCAGAAGAUUUCAUUACUUAUG